This 373-nucleotide ribosomal RNA is filed under the name Escherichia coli. RNAcentral describes it as "bacterial SSU rRNA". It matches the Rfam family "Bacterial small subunit ribosomal RNA", at positions 1173 to 1533 of the family's 1533-position model. Lineage: Bacteria; Pseudomonadati; Pseudomonadota; Gammaproteobacteria; Enterobacterales; Enterobacteriaceae. RNAcentral also lists the same sequence under 2 other names. The record is from RNAcentral.
GUGGGGAUGACGUCAAGUCAUCAUGGCCCUUACGACCAGGGCUACACACGUGCUACAAUGGCGCAUACAAAGAGAAGCGACCUCGCGAGAGCAAGCGGACCUCAUAAAGUGCGUCGUAGUCCGGAUUGGAGUCUGCAACUCGACUCCAUGAAGUCGGAAUCGCUAGUAAUCGUGGAUCAGAAUGCCACGGUGAAUACGUUCCCGGGCCUUGUACACACCGCCCGUCACACCAUGGGAGUGGGUUGCAAAAGAAGUAGGUAGCUUAACCUUCGGGAGGGCGCUUACCACUUUGUGAUUCAUGACUGGGGUGAAGUCGUAACAAGGUAACCGUAGGGGAACCUGCGGUUGGAUCACCUCCUUACCUUAAAGAAGC